GCAGGCGCGUAAAUUACCCACUCCCAGUUCGGGGAGGUAGUGACGAAAAAUAACAAUACAGGACUCAUAUCCGAGGCCCUGUAAUUGGAAUGAGUACACUUUAAAUCCUUUAACAAGGACCUAUUGGAGGGCAAGUCUGGUGCCAGCAGCCGCGGUAAUUCCAGCUCCAAUAGCGUAUAUUAAAGUUGUUGCGGUUAAAACGUUCGUAGUUGAACUUGUGCUUCAUACGGGUAGUAUAACUAUAAUUGUGGAUUGUACAUUACCUUAUGUAUGUAAGCGUAUUACCGGUGGAGUUCUAAUAUAUAAUAAUACUUGUAUUUUUAUGUAUACCUCCUAUUUAAACCUACUUCAGUGCUCUUCAUCGAG
This 366-nucleotide ribosomal RNA is filed under the name Pipiza noctiluca. RNAcentral describes it as "SSU rRNA". It matches the Rfam family "Eukaryotic small subunit ribosomal RNA", at positions 428 to 785 of the family's 1831-position model. The record is from RNAcentral. Lineage: Eukaryota; Metazoa; Arthropoda; Insecta; Diptera; Syrphidae.